RNAcentral lists this ribosomal RNA (497 nucleotides) under uncultured bacterium. RNAcentral describes it as "partial 16S ribosomal RNA". It matches the Rfam family "Bacterial small subunit ribosomal RNA", at positions 28 to 507 of the family's 1533-position model. The record is from RNAcentral.
GAUGUACGCUGGCGGCGUGCCUAAUACAUGCAAGUCGAGCGAACGGACGAGAAGCUUGCUUCUCUGAUGUUAGCGGCGGACGGGUGAGUAACACGUGGAUAACCUACCUAUAAGACUGGGAUAACUUCGGGAAACCGUAGCUAAUACCGGAUAAUAUUUUGAACCGCAUGGUUCAAAAGUGAAAGACGGUCUUGCUGUCACUUAUAGAUGGAUCCGCGCUGCAUUAGCUAGUUGGUAAGGUAACGGCUUACCAAGGCAACGAUGCAUAGCCGACCUGAGAGGGUGAUCGGCCACACUGGAACUGAGACACGGUCCAGACUCCUACGGGAGGCAGCAGUAGGGAAUCUUCCGCAAUGGGCGAAAGCCUGACGGAGCAACGCCGCGUGAGUGAUGAAGGUCUUCGGAUCGUAAAACUCUGUUAUUAGGGAAGAACAUAUGUGUAAGUAACUGUGCACAUCUUGACGGUACCUAAUCAGAAAGCCACGGCUAACUACGUG